CUCAGAACUUUCGGCUGCUGCAGUGCUGGUGGUGACGUCAGCAGCUUCAAUUAUGGGCUCUGGUUUCCCAGCUGCGGACAUCGGCCGUGCCGCAAGCCCGUUCGUGUCCGUACCGCCUGAAGGAGAUGCAUCCGCAUUGCUGGCUCUGCGCUCGGCGAGCAGCUUUGCCGCAUCAAUUUUCACCUCUGGCUUCUCAUCGAUCUGCAUGCCCACCACAACCUUCAGCUUAUCUUGUGUGUCUCGCACCAGACGCAUCUCCUUUGCAGGCAGCAUGCGCAUGCGCAAGGUCCUCGAUUGCAGGUUUCCUUGCACACAACUCAGCAGCAGAAGAGACCAGUGCGGAGGCCAGCGCACCUGCAUGGGAGCGGCAGUGUCGGGGGCUGCAGAGGAGGGAGGAGUGGCGCGGGCAACGCCAUUGGGCAGGUCGGCCUGCGUCAGAGAGGGGCCCACAUCGCAGAG
Molecule: long non-coding RNA, 459 nt
Filed under: Coccomyxa subellipsoidea
Lineage: Eukaryota; Viridiplantae; Chlorophyta; Trebouxiophyceae; Coccomyxaceae
Description: long non-coding RNA (CSUB_LNC000493)
Source: RNAcentral